Biomphalaria pfeifferi is the source of this 1155-nucleotide non-coding RNA. NCBI's taxonomy places the organism in Eukaryota, Metazoa, Mollusca, Gastropoda, Planorbidae. The record is from the annotation of a GenBank genome assembly.
GAAUAUUUUUUUUUUUUACAUUGUUUUCUAAAACUUGCUUUUUAAAGUUUCUUUUAUAUAGCCAAUGCUUUAUCUCAGUGCAUUAUGGUUUAAUCUGUUGUGGGAGGAGGUAGUUAUCUGGGUGAAAGUUUACAAGCUGCUUGUGGGCACUCAUCAAUCGCAAUGCUGCUAGAAAUGAGUUUCAAACUCAUGUCCCAUUAAUAGGAAGCCAAAUUUAAUUUUAGAACAAAAAACAACAUUCAGGUUCAUGAAUUUCAUUUCUAUUUUUUUUUUUGGUGGUUAAAUUAAGAAUAGCAGCUCAUAAAUUUGAGAUUCAAUGUAAACAAUUUUAUAAUAAUGUUCAGAAAUUAAAUUUAUAAAAUAACAACUUAUCUGGGGAUUAACUGUCAUGAACAAAAGUUUAACAUUAAAAAAAAUAAAUUAUCUAGAAACACUUGGUAUAAGCUGUUUAAUUUGUCAAGGUAAACAAAAGCAGAUUGUGUAGACAGUAAAAUAUCUGUAACUUGCAACACAAAUAAACAUAAACAAGCACACAUGUAUAUUAGAGUAUGAACAGCUGGUCCUAUCAGAAUUGAUUUGACCAAAAAAAAAAAACAACUACUGAUGUACCAGUAGUGGAAUUUUUUUUUUUAAAUCUGAAUUUCGGAACUUGAAAAAGCUAAAAUUUGACUUUCCCAUAAUUUGCCAGAGAAGUAUACAUUCAAAAUUAGCCAGAUACUAGACCUAGAUAAUUCUAUAAUUACCAUUCUCAUUUAGAACAAUGCAUUUUUUUAAAAACAAUUUUUAAUAGAGUCAACUAAAUGAUAGAACUUUCCAAGCAAUAAAAUCAAAUCUUAAAUAUAAUUGAUACAAGAAACAAAUCUAGCUAUCAAGACUUUGGAAGAUACAAAACACACAUCGCUGGCUGAUUAUUUUUCUCAAGUACGUACAGUGGAGUCUUUUUCCCCCCUUAAUCUUUCAUAUUGUGGUUUAAUAAUCAUCAUACCUUGUCUAUGUCCUGCAGAAAUUUAAUUCACAAAAGUAAUAUUUAAAAACCUUGACAUUAGAUCCUUGUCAAUUAGUGCAGUGUAUUAGUCAUAUGUUUUUUUCAAACUAAAACGUGUAUCAUAAGAAUGCUCAGAAAAUGCUGUUGAACCUUUUUUUUUCUCAUGUAGA